UACGAAGGGGGCAAGCGUUGUUCGGAAUUACUGGGCGUAAAGCGUGCGCAGGCGGUUGUGCAAGACAGAUGUGAAAUCUCCGGGCUUAACUCGGAACGGUCAAGUGAUACUGUCGUGCUAGAGUACAGAAGGGGCAACUGGAAUUCUCGGUGUAGCGGUGAAAUGCGUAGAUAUCAGGAGGAACACCGGUGGCGAAGGCGGGUCUCUGGGCCGAUACUGACGCUGAGGAGCGAAAGCGUGGGGAGCGAACAGG
This 253-nucleotide ribosomal RNA is filed under the name uncultured bacterium. Its description in RNAcentral is "partial 16S ribosomal RNA". It matches the Rfam family "Bacterial small subunit ribosomal RNA", at positions 524 to 776 of the family's 1533-position model. The record is from RNAcentral.